AUGACCAGGGAGGAGUGGACACGAGUCCACAUUUUGCCUGCAUUAUCCCAGAUCCUCUCCACCCUCGAGGGAGGUACUGAGAAGUCAAGUCACAGAGCUGGAGCGAGGGUCUGUCGCAUCCGUAUGUCUCCCCCCAUCUCCCCUGCCCCAUGCACUGGACCCCGCGCCACUUGCCCUGCCUCGAGGAGCAAAGUCCCGGCAGCUCCACAGCGGAAGCCGACGACAGCCCGGGUUCCCAAAGGGCUGGCGAAGGGGCCGGAAGUGCCAGGCCGCUGUUUCCCAGGGAACCCGGCACGCCGGCUCCAGGGGUCGGUCCAGCAACUGUGUGGCCGCAGCAGGUGUCGGACUCGAGGGCGGAGGCGUGGCGGCGGGAGUGACUGUGCACUGCUGUGCUCUCAGCACAGGGCUGGCAGAGCAGGUGGGGACAAGGAUGCUGCCACACUUCUCAGUGCCCUGAUCCCUUCCCACCCACGCACGAGGUCCCAUCGGCCGAGUCGUCUCUGUCCCGGCCAGGAUUACACAGGCUGUGGCCUGCCUGCUGCCUCUUCUGCCUGUUACGGGUGCAUCGGCGCUCCCAGAUCCUCUAGGUACGAAACGCUGGCGAGUGCUUGGCUUCUCUGAGCCACUUGCUCCGUCUGUUGGAUGGGACUGCUGGGAGUCUGACUCCAGUCUUGAGCCUGGUGCGGGGGUGUAGGGGGCAUUGUCAAAACUGCUUGUCCAUCAUCACUUCUUGCAGGGACAGCCCCGCUCCUGGAGGCCACCCCUCCUCCGUUCCCAGUGAAAGCUGCUGAGCCUUGCCCCACCCUGUUCCACAAGGACCAGGCAGGGGACCCGAGUCUGUCCGGUCCCUGUAGCAGUGCCCCAGAGUUUCACUAAAACCAUUAGCUUGGAGCUGAGGACGUUGUUACUGUUUGGCCAUGGGAGACUGGAGAGUGGGGAGGCAAGAGAUGGAAUCAGACACAUAGGUCUGCUGAUGCCUCUGUGGCCCCAUGGAUCCAGCUGUGCCAGGAGCUGGUUACCCUCUCGUAGGUUUAGGAACGAACCGUCAGCCAAGUUUGUCUUCGCUUAAGCCAGUUUGAGUUGAGUUGAUCACUUAACACAGGACGUAACUCUUCCCAUCUCAUUCUACAGGGCCAACUUUACCUCGAAUCCAGAACCAGACAUGGAGACAACAAAAAGAGAAAACUGUAGGACAAUUUCUUUGAUGAAGACGGAUGCAGAAGUUCCCAGUGAAAUACCAGCAAAUUGAACCCAAAACACAUCAGAAAGAGCCCUCACGCUCACCAAGUGAGAUGGAUCCCAGCAGUGCAAGGAGGGUUCAGCACACACGCAUUGGGGACGUCAUCCUUGUCAACAGAAUGAAGAAUGAAAAUCGUGAUUCCUCAAGAGAUGAAGGAAAGUAUUGAAUAAAAUUCAACAUCCAUUCCUGAUUUUAAAAACG
This 1441-nucleotide long non-coding RNA is filed under the name Oryctolagus cuniculus (rabbit). RNAcentral's name for it is "lncRNA (ENSOCUG00000035570.1)". The record is from RNAcentral. Lineage: Eukaryota; Metazoa; Chordata; Mammalia; Lagomorpha; Leporidae.